Molecule: long non-coding RNA, 283 nt
Filed under: Manihot esculenta (cassava)
Lineage: Eukaryota; Viridiplantae; Streptophyta; Magnoliopsida; Malpighiales; Euphorbiaceae
Description: long non-coding RNA (MESC_LNC008661)
Source: RNAcentral
UUCGGCUUCCGAAUUCAGGUUCGGCCCCCGAAUGUGGCAUGGAUUUGCAUGCGAUUCGGCAGCCGAAGCUGAGUUGCUUAGCCAGCAGUUUUGUAUCCCUUAGUCAGCAUUUUGGACAGGUGUUAUCACCAGCUCAUGUCCAGACGUUGGCCACGUCUCCCCUGGUUUAUUUGCUGAGUUUGAGCAGCUCAUGCAAGAGUUAGCUAGUGUGCAAGAGAGUUGGAAAGUGUUGAAGAAACAAAAAACUAAGUUUUUGAGAGUUUGAGAGUGUGAAGAGAGGUGG